This is a long non-coding RNA of Helianthus annuus (common sunflower), 504 nucleotides long. RefSeq lists it as uncharacterized. Lineage: Eukaryota; Viridiplantae; Streptophyta; Magnoliopsida; Asterales; Asteraceae. The transcript has 3 exons. The record is from RefSeq and is a predicted model, not a curated record.
UCUUAUGUAAAUCAACGAACCUAGACGCCUUCUUAAUCGGAUUUCGCUAAACCGUGUUUCGGAAACUUCCGCAAAUUACGAACAAGAUUGUCGGACGUGUUUUAAGUAAACCUCAACCUCUUCGCCUAUAAAUCGAAGCACUUGGCUCCUGUGAUCGUUACAUCCCCAUCGCUCACUCCACUCUCGAAAACACCUUCCGAAUAUCCUUGCACAUUGCCGGAGAUCGAAGCUCGCCGGAGACGAAGACGACGUCGGAACUCGGUCCAGGCUCAAAUCGUCUUGAUCGGAUAAUCUUCGUUGGUCCAAGUUUCUCAAUCUUUACUCGUGCAUUAUUUUACAAGAAACGCAACGCAAUCAAGGUUGCUAGUCAAGAUGAUCAAGAAACAAGCUAGGAUGGCUUUAGAUACCCAUUUUAGCAGUUAAACAAUGUUUGAAUAUAUGUUUACUAUUUGAAACAAUGUAUUAUUCUUUAGUUUUAAUAAAAUGAUUUAAUUCAUAUUGUCA